Molecule: long non-coding RNA, 2222 nt
Organism: Cavia porcellus (domestic guinea pig)
Lineage: Eukaryota; Metazoa; Chordata; Mammalia; Rodentia; Caviidae
Source: Ensembl
GGGAGACGCAUGCCCAGUUUGAAUGCUGGCUGAAAUCUAGGCCUUUAGGGUACAGCUCAAAGCACUGUCAGCCUCUGGCUAUAGUGGCAGAGCCUGCUGCUGUACAUGAUGGGAUGUGCCUCGGACUUACUAUUUAGCGAGGAUAGACCUGACCCAUUAUGAUUAGAGCGGCGGGUUGCUGUGGCGACGACACGGAGAAGGCUCCCGCACACCUGCACCGCCACCGGGCGCCGCCAGUGUGGACGCAGGCAUCCCUGGGGGCCGCUCUCUGCUGUGGGAAACACGACAACAACAACAAAAGGGAGGCAGGGAGAAGGGAAGACGGAGGAGGGGACGGGAGAAGGGAAGGGAGCGAUGCACCACCAGUUUCAGCAGUGACUAACAAAACAGGAUAGAAAUCCACAAGUCACACAGAUGGCGCCCCAGAAAAGGCGAGGAAGCCGUCUGCGGGCCUGCUGAGGAAGGCCAGCAGCAGAGGGACAGAUAGGCGCAUCCUCUGAGCCACUCCUGCGCCCACCAGAGAAGAACAAAACAUUAAACCAAGAACCUGGAUGCGACCAUUCUUAUGAAGAAAAACAAUAGGUAACUAAGUCACGCCUGAUUAACCAGAACCAGAACCGAAAGAGAUUCCCCAUUUUUGUAUGGCAGCUUUCUAAUGGGAAGAAGUAUGGUAUGACACGGGGAAAUAGAGCAUAUACUUUCUUUUUAUGCAGAGAGAGGGAAAUGAAGGACAGGGAGAGGCCUGCCGGGCGGACUCCUGAAGUCCUGUAGUUCUCUGGAAUGUUCUGGCUCAGCUCCAGGUCCUGCUAAUGAAGAAGUAAGCUCCGCACUGUGUCCUGGCCUCACUGCGCCCAGACAACCGGGCCUCUGCCUGCGGGCUGCUCCUUCCUUCAUCUGCCUCCUCCUUUUCCCAUAAUAUGACUGUUCUGCAUUAUUGUCUCUGUGUCCAUUCACAAAACAUCACAAUGCAUUAGCCUGUCCAAAGUACUUUACAAUGGCAAUAUUUACAGAAGGUUAAAUAAAAUAUGUAUAGAGAGAUUAAUAGUGACUGUGCAAUAGACCUUCUGAACUUCGAGCAUGCUGGGCUUGUGUGUUUUUCAAGCUGGAUUCUCCAGGCUGCUUUAGUUAUUUUAAUAUCUCCCAAACAAUGCACUUAAAGGAAAAGAUGAUUAGAGGAAAAUGUUUUGUUUUGUUUCUCUUUUCCAUCCAGUGUGAUUAGCAGGCAGUGGAACUGUUCCUUUCACUUUCCGGCUGACUUAGAGCAAGAAUGUUUCCUUGAGGUAACUGUGCUACAGCAGAAUGAAGUGAAACAGUCAACUAUCACAUCAAGUUGUACAAAAAUAAUACUAUUUUUGACAUCUUUUCAGGUCCCCUUAGUGAUCAUUGUAGAAGUAGUUUCACUGGAUAAUCAAAUCUGUGUUUCUUAUAGAUAUUUACAUGUGUUUCCCACUUUGUAAGGUUAAUAAAAUAGUUUGGGAAGGAAGGUAGGCAUAUAUUACGUCAGAGAUCCACAAACUUUCUUUGUAAAAAGCUAAAUAUUUUGACCUUUGUGGUUUAUAUGGUCUCUGAAGCAACAAUUUAAACUCCGCUCUUGUGGCACAGAAGUUGCUGUAGAUAAUGUAUAAAUGAAAGGAACAGUUGUGUUACAAUAAAGGUUUAUUUACAAAAAUAGGCAACAAGUCCAUUUGACCUGUACAAUGUAGUUUACCAGCAACCCAGCUAGAUCCUAUAGAAUGCUUGGAAGUAUCUCUAUUCCAAUGCUGUGUUUUUCAGUUUCUCACUUUUGUAAGUUACAGACUAAUUCAAAUAAAAAUGCAUCCAAUUGGCCCAUGUGAACAGACUUUCUUGAUCUGAUAAAGAAAAAAAGAACACUGAAAAUAAAGGGACAGUAUAUAUUUAAAUUAUUGUGGUAGCUACUAAUUUACUCAUAUCAUGUCUGAUUCAUUGGCAGAUAAAUGGUCGAGCAGGUUCCACUGUGGGAAAGCAAAGUCCUCCCAUUAUGAUGAUGGUAAUUUUCAAAGGUCUAUUUGGUACCCAGUUUUCUAAAGGAUAUUGUGCCAAAAUGUCUUUUAUCACAAGGAGGCAAGCAGGGCCUUUAAACAUAUUUUGUGGAGUGAGCACCGUAUGUAGAAGUGACAGCCAAAACUCCUGGCCAGGUCUCCUUUGAAGAGGAGGCCAGGUGUCCAAGGAGUCAAGCAUUCUAUGGUAUAAUUCAUGCUAAA